RNAcentral lists this transfer RNA (85 nucleotides) under Felis catus (domestic cat). It matches the Rfam family "tRNA". From Rfam's summary of the family: Transfer RNA (tRNA) molecules are approximately 80 nucleotides in length. Their secondary structure includes four short double-helical elements and three loops (D, anti-codon, and T loops). The record is from Rfam by way of RNAcentral. Lineage: Eukaryota; Metazoa; Chordata; Mammalia; Carnivora; Felidae.
GCCUGGGUGGCUCAGUUGGUUAAGUGUCUGAUUUUGGCUCAGAUCAUGAUCUCAUGGUUUGUGGGUUCGAGCCCUGCGUCGGGCU